AUUUAAAUAGUUUAAUAAAAAUAUUGAUUUGUGAUUUCAAUGAUAUAGAAUUCUAUUUUAAAUA
Molecule: transfer RNA, 64 nt
Filed under: Helota yehi
Lineage: Eukaryota; Metazoa; Arthropoda; Insecta; Coleoptera; Helotidae
Description: tRNA-His
Source: RNAcentral